Molecule: long non-coding RNA, 941 nt
Organism: Pecten maximus
Lineage: Eukaryota; Metazoa; Mollusca; Bivalvia; Pectinida; Pectinidae
Exons: 2
Source: RefSeq, a predicted model, not a curated record
CGUACAUGUAAAUAAAGAAAACAUCAUGGUUGUGCAAUUUAAAUACUGUAGGGAUAAUUAGUACUCUUAACACAAAUUAUUUGGAUAUUUCAGGAGUCUGCUAACAGUUAAACGGGAGCACCGAGAAAAACCUAAAAUCAUUAUGAUCAUUUUUACUAUCUAAAUAUGAUCUGGAUUUUCGUGGGGUUUUAUUUCCUGAUUUUGAUGAAAUAUCCAGUGUCUCCAGUAUUUUUCAUAAAAUUUUCAGGUUAUAAUAUCGCCAAUAGCAUUCGGAUCAGACUAAAUUAGGUUGUGAUAUUAAGAGGAGACAGAUUUUAUAUUAUAAACACGUUGGGCCAGACAAUCAAAAUGAACUGGUUAUCUGAUCAUAGACUGACACAUGAAAUUGAGUUAUAUUUUAUAUUUCAGUUGCAAAUUAUCAAAAUCAACCAAAAUUUCAUCUUUUCAACUAAAAAACACCAAAGAGUAGACAAAGUAAUAUGAUAAAUCAUCGACUCAUCAUACCAUUAUGUAUCAAGUCUUGUUGCUGUAGAACUAAAUACUUCUAAAGGAACUCGACAAAAAACAACUACAGGCACUUCAAACUGAUAACAACGCAGUGAGGAAAGAAACACCUUAUUCUCGAUUUCCCUCCCUUGGCAAGACGCAAAUCAUUCAGGUAGACAUACAGAUACAAACUACAACAAUGUGUGUAUGUUAAGACAAUUCUCUUUAAUAUUUUCACAUCAAACUUUCUGAUGGUUAUGUGAGGUAUUGGCUACUCAAAUGUUUGAUCACAGAUUUCUGUCACAAUCCCAUAUUUCAAAGUCUUCACAAUGAUAAAAGUUUAUGACAAAGAAUGCCAUGGCCAUGGUCUACCGUCUAAUCCAGAAAAUAAACACACGACGUCGGCUCCUCAUCUUAAUCUUCAACAUCCUAAUGUAGUAACAGCUGCCGUAGAA